UGUGAGCAGUGUCUUAUCAUGACAGUUUGCAGUGCUCUGUGAUGGAAUCUCUAGCGGUCUUGUAUACAGCUCGGCCACAUACAAGACCGCUAGAGAUUCCAUCACGAAGCACUGCAAACUGCCGCGAAGUACGCUUCAUGUA
This 142-nucleotide microRNA precursor is filed under the name Physcomitrium patens. RNAcentral describes it as "Physcomitrella patens miR1058 stem-loop (ppt-MIR1058)". The record is from miRBase by way of RNAcentral. Lineage: Eukaryota; Viridiplantae; Streptophyta; Bryopsida; Funariales; Funariaceae.